Mauremys reevesii (Reeves's turtle) is the source of this 421-nucleotide long non-coding RNA. RefSeq lists it as uncharacterized. The transcript has 4 exons. The record is from RefSeq and is a predicted model, not a curated record. Lineage: Eukaryota; Metazoa; Chordata; Testudines; Geoemydidae.
GAACCAGGAGGGUAAGCUGAAUGGGGGGAGUCCACUGCAUAUGCCCCCACACCCUGCCUAGGAGCUAGACCCGCUGGCUGCUUCCAGGGUACAGCACGGUGCCAGGACAGUUAUCAGUUCUGCGACCUCUACAAGAACUGCUCCAAGGUAAUCCUUCACCCCUCUCGCUCUCUCCUUCCUCUCACCAGCUGCUCCAAAGCAGCCAACAUAUUUUGAAGUCCUGGCCCACAGUUCCCAACAUUAUGUUUGUGAGCUGCUUGCUGAGAACAGUUGAUAAGAUGGAUCACUCUUAAGUCACCUGGUGCAUCUUUCUUUCCAGAUUGAUUAGACAAUUCCUAGAACUAGAGUUCCAAUGGCUUCUUCUGAAUGUGCGGAUGGAGGAAGGUGCGUAAAAGGACUCUGGCUACUGCAUAUUACACCA